UUAACUUUGAUAUCAGUGGUCUGUCCUCAAAAGCUUGACAUAUAUUCCUCAUAACGAAAGAAGGAUACUCAAUGUACAUGUACUAACGAUGGUUCAAACUAAAUAUGAUUCAGAAAAAUGAACCAGUCCAUUCUCCAUUUGAGAUAAAAAAAAAAUAAAAAAAAUCGCAGCAAAGCUACAUAUUCUAGAACAAGUGCAAUGUGGAUAUUAUUAUUUUUUCCAAAAGACCCUGCCCAUAGGUGCCAUACAAAAUAAUUCUUACAAAAAAUACUAAUUAUCGUAAACAUGUAAAAUACACGUUCACAUUGUUCUGAUCCCCGCACAGAUAUCUACAUUCACAGAUGAUGCGUACUUGUUUAUGUCAUACCAAUGUUUGUGAUCAAUUUUUAUAAAGUGCUAGAGGAAUUUUUAA
Molecule: long non-coding RNA, 412 nt
Filed under: Mytilus galloprovincialis (Mediterranean mussel)
Lineage: Eukaryota; Metazoa; Mollusca; Bivalvia; Mytilida; Mytilidae
Source: RNAcentral